Molecule: ribosomal RNA, 712 nt
Filed under: uncultured bacterium
Lineage: Bacteria
Description: bacterial SSU rRNA
Rfam family: Bacterial small subunit ribosomal RNA
Source: RNAcentral
AGAGUUUGAUCCUGGCUCAGAUUGAACGCUGGCGGCAUGCCUUACACAUGCAAGUCGAACGGCAGCACGGGAGCAAUCCUGGUGGCGAGUGGCGAACGGGUGAGUAAUACAUCGGAACGUGCCCUGUCGUGGGGGAUAACUAGUCGAAAGAUUAGCUAAUACCGCAUACGACCUGAGGGUGAAAGCGGGGGACCGUAAGGCCUCGCGCGAUAGGAGCGGCCGAUGUCUGAUUAGCUAGUUGGUGGGGUAAAGGCCCACCAAGGCGACGAUCAGUAGCUGGUCUGAGAGGACGAUCAGCCACACUGGGACUGAGACACGGCCCAGACUCCUACGGGAGGCAGCAGUGGGGAAUUUUGGACAAUGGGGGCAACCCUGAUCCAGCAAUGCCGCGUGUGUGAAGAAGGCCUUCGGGUUGUAAAGCACUUUUGUCCGGAAAGAAAUCCCUUGCCCUAAUACGGCGGGGGGAUGACGGUACCGGAAGAAUAAGCACCGGCUAACUACGUGCCAGCAGCCGCGGUAAUACGUAGGGUGCGAGCGUUAAUCGGAAUUACUGGGCGUAAAGCGUGCGCAGGCGGUUUUGUAAGACAGGCGUGAAAUCCCCGAGCUCAACUUGGGAAUGGCGCUUGUGACUGCAAGGCUAGAGUAUGUCAGAGGGGGGUAGAAUUCCACGUGUAGCAGUGAAAUGCGUAGAGAUGUGGAGGAAUACCGAUGG